RNAcentral lists this small nuclear RNA (106 nucleotides) under Castor canadensis (American beaver). The record is from RNAcentral. Lineage: Eukaryota; Metazoa; Chordata; Mammalia; Rodentia; Castoridae.
AUGACACUUUGGCAACACACAUACUAAAAUUGGAACGGUACAGAGAAGAUUAGCAUGGCUCCUGCACAAAUAUGACACACAGAUUCGUGAAGCGUUCCAUAUUUAA